AUGUUCCACCUGGUGCUUGUGAGUGGGUUGCUGACAGGGAUGUCGUCGUGGGGGUCCUUCGCCCUCCUCCGGGAGUCCAGCCUUGAUGAAGAACAGCCGCUCGAGUCGUCUGUCGUUACCCUCAAUGAGAGCUGCAGGGAGCGGGCCCUCCAGGAAGUGGGCUCUGCCACGCUCCGGUUGCUCCGGUUGGACAGCCCCCCCAGGAUCGCAGCUGGCACAAGGAGGCAGGCGCAUGAAGCUUGGGAAAUGAUGGAACUGCCGGAUCUGUCCAGUGGGGGGCAGCAUUUCAAUCUUUCGUCCAAUGAGACACUGCUGGUCCGAAGAGAAAGCUGCACCCAAAUUUCCCACCAUGUCACGUUGGAAGAUCUUGGCUGGCAAAGCUGGGUGCUGCACCCGGUGUCCUUCGUCUUCACCCAGUGCCUCGGGUGCCGCUGCCGACGAAAGGACAAGGCCCCUCCGCUGGCCCUUUGGAUUCAAGACUGCGGACUUGAGCAGCCGAGCCGUCGGCCAGAUGGGCAAGCCAAGCAGAGACACUGCUGCCAGACCCGCCGGGCACCGAUGCCCUUCGUGUUCCUCAAAGAGGACGGCUCGUUGGUCAUUCGAGCAAUCCGCCUGGAACGAGACUGCCACUGCCGCCCCUGA
Molecule: long non-coding RNA, 642 nt
Filed under: Podarcis muralis (Common wall lizard)
Lineage: Eukaryota; Metazoa; Chordata; Lepidosauria; Squamata; Lacertidae
Description: lncRNA (ENSPMRG00000015213.1)
Source: RNAcentral